This 200-nucleotide long non-coding RNA is filed under the name Elaeis guineensis (African oil palm). Its description in RNAcentral is "long non-coding RNA (EGUI_LNC048914)". The record is from RNAcentral. Lineage: Eukaryota; Viridiplantae; Streptophyta; Magnoliopsida; Arecales; Arecaceae.
GUGGAUCGAAGAAGGGGCGCCUUUCAGCAACCCCUUCUUGCCGAACUGGGGGGAGAAGUUCCACCAGUCCUUCGUCGAAGGAUGGCGCUUGAAGGUAUAGAAGUGCCUAAACAAGGAGAGGGACGGUUGGACCUUGACUACGUGGUAGAGGGAGAGAAAUCCUAUCAAGAACCUAAAAGAAUUCGGGGCCACGGAAGCCA